CAACAACGCGCUCGGCUGCUGCCGGAGACUUUGUUUCUUCCGUUGUGCAUAUCGCCUCUUGCACCGCCGCUGCCGCCCCCUCUCUCCUUAGCUCCAGACACACAGAGGCGGUCACGCGUCAACGAGCGCGGUCCCUUCGCUUUCCAUCGCGUCAGACCGACACACCAAGCACGAUGUCCGCGCCAGCGACUGCAGCCACCCCGCCCAUCGCCAGUGGCAGUGGUAAUGGCACUAUUAGUGGUAAUCAAGAGGUGAACCCGCGUGCACGAGACCCUCACUCCUCGCAGUCUCACCACGCCGAACACGCUGGAGGAUCGCCACGCCGCAGCAAGAGCUGCGUCAGCAUGCAUGCCAGCACUGCAGGCGGCACGGCUCACCGCCAGGUGAUCGGCAACUACGAACUCGGCCGCGUCCUCGCCACGGGUGACUUCGACUGUCGCACGCGUCUGUGCAGGCACAUCACCACCGGUGUGCGGUAUGUGGUGCGCGUGUACGACAAGCGCGUGCUGGCGGAGGCGCAAUGGAUGUGGAACCGUGUGGCGGAGUCGAUCCGGGUGCAGCGCACCCUGCCCAAAAACAAGUAUGUGCUGGAGAUGGUCGAGUGUUUCGAGUCGAACACAUCCGUGUACAUGCUGAUGCAUCUGUUUCCGUCCAUAAACAUCACAAAACUCUUCACGGACUCAGCAGCACGUGCAAAACUCCUGUGUUGCCUGCAGGCCAUGUCGCGAGCCAAUGCUCAUACUUCUGCCGCGGCGACCUCGAAUGGCUCACUGACAACGGAGCCAGAGAAAACGGCGAAGGGAGAACCUCACCGGAAGCCGAGCCACGUGCAUGCGCUGCCGGCCACCGAUCCGACGAGCGCACCCAAAAGCGUCUUGUCGCGCGGGCUGAAGACGAGCAUGCGGACCCCCAGUGCAUCUGCAGCGGAGUCGCAGCCGUCGGAGCAUGGCACCGAGGAGACGGCUGAUGCGAAUGAAUUCUCUCACCGCGGCGGGGGCAAGCAAGAGAGUACCCCCAGCACCGCCGCCUCGACGAUGGGCGGCGCUAGCACCUCGCCGAUGGCAGUGGCCUCUGUCAACGCCUUCCUUGGCACGGCGGUGCCGUCGCACGUGCCGCUGUCGCUCAUUCGCGACCUCUUCGAGCAAGCCGUGAAGGGUGUGUCGCACCUGCACCAAUACAACGUGGCCCAUACUGGCAUCGCUCCUGAUCACCUCCUGGUGGGGGCCAAUGGUCUGCUGCGUAUCAGCAAUAUGGUUUCGUGUUGUUUCUGUGCGCAAGGUGAACGGCUGCAUGAACUCCGCGGCACGCGGCACACCGUCGCUCCGGAGGUGCUGCGGGGCGAGUCCUACGACCCCUACCUCGCCGAUGCCUGGGCUCUCGGUGUCGUCCUGUACUUUAUGCUGAACCGUGGUCGCUACCCACACGACGGCGCGAGUACCCUUCGACACAUUCUCCACGGCCGAGUGCGGCCCUCACGGCCUGGGCUGCCGCCCGUCGCACUGGACCUCGUCUCCCGCCUACUGCAGGGCUCCCCAGAAGAGCGGCUGCCGGUCGAUGCCAUCCUCACCCAUCCCUUCUUCUUAGCGCCUUUACCAACCAUUGCCGAAGAAGCAGCAGCGGAGGCGGCGGAGCUGCAGGCGCAGCACGUGCGCCACAGACUCAUCACCGGUGCGGCUGUCCAUGGCGGGCACAGCGUUGUGAGCGACAGAGACGACCUAAACGGGCGUCGACUGCGAAGCAAAGAGAAAGCGGUCGGCGCCGGCAGGCGGGAAGCAUCAUCGCCGCACUGGGAGUCACUCGUGACCUUUGGGAGUGGCGACAGCAUCACUGGCAGAGAUGAGGUGGACAGUUCGGGGCUCAACCCUCAACACAACGGCGACGACGACGCAUCCGCAGCAAAAGACGGCUCGAAACGGAGCUGCAGAGACACGGUCUGCCCGCCGCGAGCCGGUCUUCCCACGCACCAGCCUUCUGCUGCGUCGCGGUCCCCGUCGGCGUCCAUGAAACGUGCGCACCUCGCCGCGUCCUCCCUCGCCAGGACGAGCCCGUGCCAAUCGGUGGCGGGGUCAGUGUCGGCAUCGACCCGCCCCGUCUGGUGCCCCCAUCUGGCGCCGACGCUGGACGCUCUGGAAGACCUCGCAGGACGUGUAAUUCAGUACCACUACCGCCAAAUGAAGCGCCGCCAGCAGUAUCGAGCCGAGACCCGUACGCUGGUGGCGCGCAGUCAGAGCAUGCGUCGAGCAAAGGUGGAAGAAGAGGGCAUCGGCGGCCAACAACAGCCCUUGCUGAGUCUAGUCCCCGCCGUCGUUGUCCUAUCCAGGCCGCCGAGUCUUGACCUGGUACCGUCGUCUGCAGGCACGGUAACGCCGAAGCGGGACGAGGUGCUUCAUCGGCAACGGCAGCGACAGCAGCAACCGAGCGACUUGUAUCUGAAGCGGAAGCCGGUGAUGGCGGCGAAUGUGUUGGAUGCUGCGGCAGGCUCGCAGUCGCCAAGCUCCGCCCGCCGUCGGGCUUCGACGAACAACAGUGUUGACACGGGUGGUCCUUUGGAGGACGAGCCGCUGUCCCACUGGCACAAGUCCGGCACGGCUUCUCCAGCUUCGACGAUCCAGUCCGUGCUUGUGACAGGGGCAAACAGCGUUGUCAUCGGUACCCGCGCAGGCUCACCCGGCAGCCUCGACCGCGACGAUGACGACACCGAGAGCAGCCUCAUCAGCAGCCUCGACGGUGCGCUGCGCGCAAACGUAGCCGAGGGCACCAAUACUGUCGCCUCCCUCGACACAACCCCGCAAGAGUCGCUGAAGCUCCCUGUACCCCUUCCACUCAAUCAGCGCAGGCCCGGCAGCAGCGUUCGGGCAUGCAAUACCCCAGCCAACAGCGUUUUCAUAGCACCGCCCCCGCUUCGCCCCUCUUCCAACUCCAGCGUGCUGCCUACGCUAGCGUCGCUCCACGGCUUGGGCAGCAGUGUCGGUCGCUUCGCCGAUCGCGCGCGCGUGGGGGAGGGAAUGAUGGUGAAGGAUGAUGAGAGGUGCCCGCUGUGCCACCGCGAGCCCUACAUGACGCGGGCUAUUGGCGUUCGCCCAUACGGGGGCACCUCGUACGUCUACGCCGAUGGCAGAUUUACGAAGGUGUCGUCGGUGUGAGGUGGAGUGAGGGCUAGCGCUGCGCGAGCGUGCGUGUAUAUGCGGGGUGAGAGGCCGAUGAACACAUCGCCAACUUGGUUCUCCACUUCCUCCCCUCACAACGCAGCUCGACCAGUGCGCUCCGGCAGACCCGUCACCAGGCCCCCCCACCUCUCACCUCACCCUACCAGACUACCAACGCGAAUGCUGCUACCGCGCAACGUCGUCACACGACGGCUUCUCCCUAAUUCUUUAUCGCGAACUCUUCCGUCACACGCUGUCGUUCGUGACGCUGCUGUUGCUCAUUCGGCUGCGCGACGGAAGCUCCCCUCCUGCGUUUGUGUAUGUGUGUGUGUGUGCGUGUGUGCUCCAGAUCUGAUGUAUUCAACUGCCUCUCUUCACUAAUUCCUGUGUCUGUAUCUCUGUGUGUGUGUGUGUAAGCCCACUUACUUGGAACAUAUCCCCCUCCCCCUCCCCCUCCCCCUCCUCCUCCUCCCAUCCCCUGCUUCGUGUUGCUUUUCGGCUUGGCCAACGUGUGUUACCCCUUCACAGCUUUUCCUGUAUGUACAUAUCUUGUGCAUGGUUCAUGUGUGCGUGUGUGUGUCCCUAUCCUUGCGUGCGUGCAAGGUGGUCAGCACCUGUAUGUGUCUAUGGAAGUCGAGCGACCCCACGCCCGAUCGC
RNAcentral lists this unclassified non-coding RNA (3803 nucleotides) under Leishmania donovani. RNAcentral describes it as "gene:LdHU3.22.1500(CDS-product:Protein_tyrosine_k inase/Protein_kinase_domain_containing_protein_putative)". The record is from RNAcentral. Lineage: Eukaryota; Euglenozoa; Kinetoplastea; Trypanosomatida; Trypanosomatidae.